This 399-nucleotide ribosomal RNA is filed under the name uncultured bacterium. RNAcentral describes it as "bacterial SSU rRNA". It matches the Rfam family "Bacterial small subunit ribosomal RNA", at positions 28 to 430 of the family's 1533-position model. The record is from RNAcentral.
GACGAACGCUGGCGGCGUGCUUAACACAUGCAAGUCGAGCGGUAAGGCCCUUUCGGGGGUACACGAGCGGCGAACGGGUGAGUAACACGUGGGUGACCUGCCUUUAGCUCUGGGAUAAGCCUGGGAAACUGGGUCUAAUACCGGAUAUGACCCUAUGGCGCAUGUUGUGGGGUGGAAAGCCUUGUGCGGCUAGGGAUGGGCCCGCGGCCUAUCAGCUUGUUGGUGGGGUGAUGGCCUACCAAGGCGACGACGGGUAGCCGGCCUGAGAGGGCGACCGGCCACACUGGGACUGAGACACGGCCCAGACUCCUACGGGAGGCAGCAGUGGGGAAGUCUUGCGCAAUGGGCGAAAGCCUGACGCAGCGACGCCGCGUGAGGGAUGACGGCCUGGUUGUAACU